UUCGGUGUUGUGAUAGAAGCUUUGACAACAACUUCCAAUGGCUCGGAAGGAGGAACGGAAGACAUUGAUACUCUGAGGGGUUUGAAGCUGAAAUGGUUGUUGAAGUGGCUGGUUGAAACGACGUAGUUUGGGCGAUAUCGAAGGUGAUUGACGGUAGCGGAAAGAGCGCACGCCGAAACUUGAAUUCUGACGGUGGACAUUGGCACCGUUAACGUACGUUUGUUUGUAGCUUCAAAAAAGAGAUGAAGCUGAUGAGGUUGUGUUUUGUUCCGGCAAUGUUUACGUGUCAACGUACUAUGUUUCCACAACACAGCUUAAAAUAAACCGGACCGGUUCAAUAGAGUUGGUUUGAUGGGAAUCGAAACUCGUAGCCGGUCCGGAUAGUCUCUACUCUUAUGGGUUUUGACUUUUGAUGUGCGUUACUCUAUAAUUAAAUUGAAGUUAUAGAAGUCACUCUACUCACUUUACAUUCUUUUUAAGAAUUACACUUAAUUUGGAAAAUGAUGCAUUCAAAAAUUUAUUCUAACACAAUACAAAAAUUUACUUUUCUGAAUUUGUACAAUCAAGCAAUUUUUAUUUUUUUUUAGACAAAAAUAUUUCAAGUGAUUUGAAUAUGAGAAGAGUUCCUUUUAAAAUAUAAUAUAAAUAUCCACUAAUUCUGAUUGGGAAGUGUAGUGAAAAUUGAGAAUGCAUGUGAACACAACAUAAGUCUAGAUACAUGAUGAAUCAUGUUCAUAUUUACUCCUUAACAUUAUUAUAACAACAUUACUCUACUCUUUCUAUCUACACCAUCAAUGUUUCAAAUGCUAAUUUCAUUUCAAUUCCUACUAAGAAAAAAAACUUAAAACUGAGAAUAAAUAAAAACGUGAAAAGGUUGAGUUUUUUUACAGUCUCCGAUCUUGUUCGGUGUUGUGAUAGAAGCUUUGACAACAACUUCCAAUGGCUCGGAAGGAGGAACGGAAGACAUUGAUACUCUGAGGGGUUUGAAGCUGAAAUGGUUGUUGAAGUGGCUGGUUGAAACGACGUAGUUUGGGCGAUAUCGAAGGUGAUUGACGGUAGCGGAAAGAGCGCACGCCGAAACUUGAAUUCUGACGGUGGACAUUGGCACCGUUAACGUACGUUUGUUUGUAGCUUCAAAAAAGAGAUGAAGCUGAUGAGGUUGUGUUUUGUUCCGGCAAUGUUUACGUGUCAACGUACUAUGUUUCCACAACACAGCUUAAAAUAAACCGGACCGGUUCAAUAGAGUUGGUUUGAUGGGAAUCGAAACUCGUAGCCGGUCCGGAUAGUCUCUACUCUUAUGGGUUUUGACUUUUGAU
RNAcentral lists this long non-coding RNA (1316 nucleotides) under Cicer arietinum (chickpea). Its description in RNAcentral is "long non-coding RNA (CARI_LNC001682)". The record is from RNAcentral. Lineage: Eukaryota; Viridiplantae; Streptophyta; Magnoliopsida; Fabales; Fabaceae.